Molecule: long non-coding RNA, 3393 nt
Filed under: Homo sapiens (human)
Lineage: Eukaryota; Metazoa; Chordata; Mammalia; Primates; Hominidae
Description: HSALNT0409487
Source: RNAcentral
GAUUUUUCCGGCGCUAUUUCCAAACCUGUGAGACCUUCCGCACCUGAGAUAAACGCUGAGGACGCAAGAGCGAUUUUACCAGAGGAAAACAGUCACAGAGCCGUCGCUGGACUCAUAUUAAACAGUACUGCGACAGAACGAAAAAGCAAGAUAAAAAUAGUAUGGCCGGAUCUUUUUUAAAAUGGGACCACUGCGCAAGUUACGCCUGCGUAUUGCAGGGAAGGACCGUAAAAGGCUGUGGUGCUGAUCAACGAAGGAUUUCUCGGAGAAAAUUCCUCCUUUGCGGAAAUGUCCGUAGAAACGCACCUUUUUUUUUUCCUGCCAGGACAAACCGCCGGCGAUAUCCGUUCAUGUGAAAGUGUUUACUAACAUUCUCUGAAGACUCACUGGGUUCUCAGCUCGAGAACGUUCCUGUCACAAGACGUUUAGGAGGCAGGAUGCCGGUACAAUGUAUUUAUGUUCUUGUAAACUGUUGCAUUAACAGUGCACUUCAAGUGGGCACAUUUGUCGUUGGAUUUUUUACCAACUCGAGCUUGGACUUUAGGACGGGGAAAAGAAGUGCUAAAUGUUUUUGAAUAAAACCUUUACUGCACAUGAUAAACAUCCCUUAAAAAUUACCUAGGAGCACCCUAAAUUUUAAAAUGAUCACAAAGACCUGGACAGAUUACAGUAAACCUUCAACAUCGCUAAACACACGUACCAUAAAUCAAAAGAAACACACUGCUAAUGAUCCGUUUUUUGAUGUGGAAAUAUCAUGCUGUUUUUAAGGGAAAUUAUACUUUAUUGCGAUGUUUUAUUUCAAAACAAGAUGUUACACUUUAUUUCCUAUAAUUUUAUUUACAAUAUUUUACACCCGUUAAGCAAAAAUCCCCCUACAUUGCUAUUCUGUUUUUUUUUAAUCAGUUCACUACUGUAGUAUCUUUUUGUUCUCCAUAUAUUUUUGAAAAAUACGCAAAAGAGUUCUGCAGAACUUAUCAGGUUGGACUCUGUGAAGCCUGCAGGCCAGAAUUGCUAAGGUGACAAAAAAGCAAAAAAAAAGUCAACUUCUCCUCUCUCUAGGAAGUCUGUCCCAGGAAGUUUUCAAACCUCUCUUGGCCAGAGAACAUCAGUGGGAGUGAUUGGAGGCCCUGGAUGGGAAGUCCCGCCAAGCUGGAACAGCUGAGCCAUCCAAACAGCAAGGAUGACAACCUUCCCUUUCUCCUAAGAACUCUGCCCCAUUCAAGCUUGGCCCAACACUGUUGCCAGGGGCUGGCUGGAAUUCCAAGCUGGUGAGUCUUAUCCUAUGAGGUGCCAUGAAAGUGGGGCCCACAGAAGGAUGCUGCUCAGCUUCCUGGAUUCAGCUCUCUUCCUAAGGUUAUGUACAAAAAUCUUAUCUCUCACUUUGCCUGAGUUGCAGCUACCUUUGCUGGUGAUCCUGGACCCAAAGUGUGCCAGCCUCUCCUGAUACUCUGUGUGUACCUGAGCAGCUAUUCUGCCAAGACUUCACACAGCUCUGUGCAUGAAACCCAAGGCCUUAGUGAAGUGGGAUCAUGAGGGGAUCUCCUAACUGGAGUGUUAAAAGAUCCUUAGGAGAAACAUUGAGUAUUAUUUCCCAGGGUGUACAUUCGCUCACCACUUCCCUGUGUUAGGGGAGGUUCACUUGGCCACUUGUUACUCAUGUUGUUGUUAUUGUUUAAGUAUUUAUUUAGAUGAUCCAUUAGAUGAUCCAUUAAAUGCCCAAAGUGGGGUUUUGAAGUCGACAAUUAUUAUUGUGUUGGGGUCUAUCUCUCUCGUUAGCUUAAUAAUCUUUUCUUUGUAAAUCUUGAUUCUCCAGCAUUGGGUGCAUGUAAAUUUAAAAUUGUUAUAUCUUUUUGCUGAAUUGAUCCCCUUAUCAUCAUUUAAUGGCCUCACUUUUGUCUCGAAAUCUAUUUUACCUGAUAUAAGUAUAGCUACUGCUCCUCUAUUUUGGUUUCCGUUGGCACAUAUUUGUGUCCUUAUAAGGUGAGGUAAAUUCUCUUGUAGACAGCAUGUAGUUGUCUUCCCUUUUCAUUUAUUCACCUACUCUACAUCUUUUGGUUAAAAAAUUUAGUUUAUUUACAUUCAUUAUUAUAGAUGAGCAGGGACUUACUACUGACGUUUAUUUGUAUUUUUUUAUUAGUCAUUUUUUUCUUCAUGUCGUUUUAUACAAGUGACUUUUUUUUCUGCUUCUAGGGUUUAAUUUCUUUAUUUUUAUAUAUUGUGUAUCAAUUAUAGGUUUUGUAUAUGUGCUUACUAGUUUGCUUACAUAUAACAUGUUAUAACCAAUUAUUUUAAAUAAAAACAACUAUAAUCAAAAUUUUAAAACAUAGAAAAGUAAAAAUCUCUACACUUUAUAUUCUCCUCUGUUUUAUGUCUUUUGGUUGUCUUGUCUUUGUAUAUUAUCUGUCUCUUAAAUGAUGUAAUUAUCAGUUUUAACAUAUUGCUUCUUUAGUCUUUCUACUAAAGAUAUGAGUGGUUUGGACAACACGAUUGUAACAUUACAGUAUUUUCUACUUGUGUAUUUACUAGUAACAUUGAGUUUUAUAACUUCAGAUGACUUGUUGCUCAUUUCUGUUUUUUACUUUUCAGAUUUCAAACAUUUAGGUUCAAGGGAUGCAGAUGCAGGUUUGUUACAUGGAUAAACUGCAAGUUGUGUAGAUUUGGUGCACAGAUUAUCUUGUUACCCAAAUAAUGAGCACAGUAUGCUGUAAGCAGUUUUCUUUGCUCAGCCUCUUCUGGCCCUCCACCCUGAAGUAGAUCCUGUGUCCAUUAUUGUCUUAUUUCCAUGUGUACUCAGUUUUAAGCUUAUACAUGUAAGUGAGAACAUGCUAUUUGGUUCUCUCUUCCUGUGUUAAUUUGCUUAGGAUAAUGCCUUCCAGCUGCAUCCAUGUUGCUGCAAAGGACAUAAUUUUAUUCUUUUUUUAUGCUGUCUGGUAUUCCAUUGUGCAUAUAUUUAUUUUUAUGUAUGUACUUUUUAAAUUCAGCUUACUGUUAAUGGACACCUGGGUUAAUUUCAUGUCUUUGCUAGUACAAAUAGUGCAGUAAUGAACAUAUGUGUAUAUGUAUUUCUAUCAUAGAAUAAUUUCCAUUUCUUUGAGUAUAUGCUGAGCAGUGGGAUUGCUGGGUCAAAGUUAGUUUUGUUCUAAGUUACUUGGGAAAUCGUCAAACAAAUUUCCACAAUGCCUAAAGUAAUUUACAUAAUCAGUAGCGGUGUAUAAAUGUUCCUUUUUCUCCACAACCUUGCCAGUAUCUGUUAUUUCUUGGUAUUUUAGUAAUAGCCAUUCUGACUUGUGUGAGAUUACCUCUCGUUGUGUUUUGAUUUGUAAUUCUCUAAUAACUAAUGAUGUUGAACAUUUUUAUAUGCUGGUUGGCUGCAUGUAUGUAUUAUUUAUAGAA